Molecule: ribosomal RNA, 252 nt
Filed under: uncultured bacterium
Lineage: Bacteria
Description: partial 16S ribosomal RNA
Rfam family: Bacterial small subunit ribosomal RNA
Source: RNAcentral
UACGGGGGGUGCGAGCGUUGUCCGGAUUCACUGGGCGUAAAGGGCGCGUAGGCGGCCCGGUCAGUCGGUCCUUUAAGAGCGGGGCUCACCCCCGUGGGGGGACCGGGACGGCCGGGCUGGGGCGCGGCAGAGGGGGACGGAAUGCCGGGUGUAGUGGUGAAAUGCGUAGAGAUCCGGCGGAACACCGGUGGCGCAGGCGGUCCCCUGGGCCGAGGCCGACGCUGAGGCGCGAGAGCGCGGGGAGCGAACGGG